GCCUCUGUGGGCUAAUGGAUAAGGCAUCGGCCUCCUGCCGGGAUUGCGAGUUCGAGUCCCGCCAGAGGUA
Molecule: transfer RNA, 70 nt
Filed under: Daphnia galeata
Lineage: Eukaryota; Metazoa; Arthropoda; Branchiopoda; Diplostraca; Daphniidae
Rfam family: tRNA
About the family: Transfer RNA (tRNA) molecules are approximately 80 nucleotides in length. Their secondary structure includes four short double-helical elements and three loops (D, anti-codon, and T loops).
Source: Rfam by way of RNAcentral